Molecule: regulatory RNA element, 123 nt
Organism: Bacillus gobiensis
Lineage: Bacteria; Bacillati; Bacillota; Bacilli; Caryophanales; Bacillaceae
Rfam family: ylbH leader
About the family: This family is a putative regulatory RNA structure that is found upstream of the ylbH gene in B. subtilis and related low GC Gram-positive bacteria.
Source: Rfam
ACAAAAAAAUCCCCGCAAGAAACUUGCGGGGGUCCUUCUAUUCCUUACAUACAUAAGGAGAAGGCAAAGGGAGAGGAGAAACCGGAGGAAGAACUUAUGGGGAAACGUAAGUCUUCUCCGCGG